Molecule: ribosomal RNA, 243 nt
Filed under: uncultured bacterium
Lineage: Bacteria
Description: partial 16S ribosomal RNA
Rfam family: Bacterial small subunit ribosomal RNA
Source: RNAcentral
AGGGGGCAAGCGUUGUCCGGAAUUAUUGGGCGUAAAGCGCGCGCAGGCGGUUUUUUAAGUCUGAUGUGAAAUCUUGCGGCUCAACCGCAAGCGGUCAUUGGAAACUGGAGAACUUGAGGACAGAAGAGGAGAGUGGAAUUCCACGUGUAGCGGUGAAAUGCGUAGAUAUGUGGAGGAACACCAGUGGCGAAGGCGACUCUCUGGUCUGUAACUGACGCUGAGGUGCGAAAGCGUGGGUAGCGA